UACGUAGGUGGCAAGCGUUGUCCGGAAUUAUUGGGCGUAAAGGGCUCGUAGGCGGCCAACUAAGUCGGACGUGAAAUCCCUCAGCUUAACUGGGGAACUGCGUCCGAUACUGGAUGGCUUGGAUUUGGGAGAGGGAUGCGGAAUUCCAGGUGUAGCGGUGAAAUGCGUAGAUAUCUGGAGGAACACCGGUGGCGAAGGCGGCAUCCUGGACCAAUAUUGACGCUGAGGAGCGAAAGCUAGGGGAGCAAACGGG
This 253-nucleotide ribosomal RNA is filed under the name uncultured bacterium. Its description in RNAcentral is "partial 16S ribosomal RNA". It matches the Rfam family "Bacterial small subunit ribosomal RNA", at positions 524 to 776 of the family's 1533-position model. The record is from RNAcentral.